Molecule: ribosomal RNA, 1711 nt
Filed under: Triticum aestivum (bread wheat)
Lineage: Eukaryota; Viridiplantae; Streptophyta; Magnoliopsida; Poales; Poaceae
Description: partial small subunit ribosomal RNA
Source: RNAcentral
GUCGACACCCUUGCAACCCUGCUGUACCGGGCGACGGACGACGACUCUGCGAUAGGUACGGGGCAGCCAGAGUCACCGUGUUUGUCCAGUGGAGUCCCGACUCCAAUCGACUUCAUUCCCCUCCGAAAAUCAAAGAAGCAGCAGAAAGAAAUGCAGGGGAAUAUUCCGCGCCAGGCCGCCGCUUCUUAAAAGCUUCUCUGACUCUGACUCCGAUAGGCGGAGGAGGAGGCUACGCUUGUAAGGAGGAGAAGGAAGCAAGGAGGGAGGCAGCAGAAGCACCAUGGAUUCCCUCUGGCACGCCUCCGUCAUUGUCCUUGUGCUUCUAACCAUUGGAGGAUCCGAUGCCAACCCAGCCGCCCGUCGCCACGGUCAGCUGGAUGUAAACCACAAGAAGCAGCCACUACAGACAUCCAGGCCUUACAACAUUGCCCACAGGGGUUCCAAUGGCGAAAUACCCGAAGAGACAGCUGCCGCAUAUUUGAGGGCUAUCGAGGAAGGUGCAGACUUCAUAGAGACUGAUAUACUUGCAUCAGAGGACGGUCAUCUGAUAUGUUUUCAUGAUGUAACACUGGAUGACACGACCGACAUCGCUAACCGUACCGAGUUCGUUGGCAGGAAGAGAACCUAUGAAGUCCAGGGAGUAAAUAUGACUGGUUGGUUUACCGUGGAUUUUACACUAAGAGAACUGAAAUCACUGAGGGUGAAACAGCGCUUCAGUUUCAGGGAUCAACAGUAUAAUGGGAAGUACAAUAUUCUUACAUUUGAUGAGUUUAUCUUGAUUGCACUUCAUGCUGACAGGGUGGUCGGAAUAUACCCAGAGAUCAAGAAUCCUAUUUUCAUCAACCAGCAUGUCAAGUGGUCAGGUGGCAAGAAGUUUGAGGACAAGUUUGUCGAGACGCUUCUCAAGUAUGGCUACAAAGGCAAAUAUAUGUCCGAAGAUUGGCUCAAGAAGCCGCUAUUCAUCCAAUCCUUUGCUCCAACCUCACUAAUUUACAUCUCAAACAUCACAAAUGCUCCAAAACUACUUCUAAUAGACGAAACCACAGUUCCAACUCAAGAUACCAAUCAGUCAUACUAUGAGAUAACUUCGAACGGCUAUCUCGCAUUCAUAAGCAAGUAUGUAAUUGGGAUUGGGCCAUGGAAGGAUACAAUUAUCCCCCCAGAGAAUAACCUUUUAGGCCCUGCAACCGAUCUUGUGGCACGGGCACAUGCUCUGAAUCUUCAGGUGCAUCCAUACACAUUCAGAAAUGAGAACUCAUACCUGCACUUCAACUUCCAUCAAGACCCUUAUGCUGAAUAUGAGUACUGGCUCAGAGAGAUCAGAGUCGACGCGCUGUUCACCGAUUUCACCGGCAGCUUGCGCAAGUACCAGGAGUGGACAGCUCCGCACCAAAACAAAGAAAAGAAGUGCAGAGGACCUCCUGCAUGAGAUCGCCCAGACGCUGAAGGUUGAUGCUCACUAAAGCUUAGGUUGCCAAGUCUGUAUACCUCCUACCUUUGAGGAGUUAUUUCACUGUUGUCAGUACCGAGAAAAUGGACUGGUCAAUACCAUUCUAUGUAAUUGCUUCCUACAAAUCACGGGAAGUGGCAACUUUAGAGCAUCAUGGAGUUCCAAAAAACUUCAUUUAGUGAAAAUUUUCUUCCCGUUUCUGCGGGACAUGCCAACGUUUCUAAAAAGGGAUAAUUUGGCAUGCAGUCUGAAUCGUUUUCC